Engraulis encrasicolus (European anchovy) is the source of this 486-nucleotide long non-coding RNA. RefSeq lists it as uncharacterized. The record is from RefSeq and is a predicted model, not a curated record. The transcript has 3 exons. Lineage: Eukaryota; Metazoa; Chordata; Actinopteri; Clupeiformes; Engraulidae.
GUGUCUGGGUUCAAGUGUAGGCCCGCCACAGCCACAAAGAUAUCCAGUAGGAAUUCACAGCCAGCACAACACCGAAGACUAAAACUAAACAAAAUAAAGGCUAAUAAUCUACUAUGACUGGGCACAAGCAACACACACAUUGAGUAAACAUUCCAUGGAGCUCGUGCGAGCGGCUAAUUCUUGGCUAAUAGGCUAUUCAAUUGGGACUCUGGUGGAGACUCUUCAUUAGCCUACCCACAGUAGAUGGUGAGGUCACACGUUGGGUCGAGGAGGAACUGAAGUACAGGAAAAACUGGUGGCUUCGACAGUUGACAAAGGUCAUCUUAAAGCUGCUGGAGGACCACACAUUUUCCCAGAAUUUGCAAAAUGCAGUUGGCAUAACACUGGAUCACAUUGUACCUAUACAGUACGAACAACAGCAACCCCCACCUAUGGCUAUGUGAGACGUUAGAGAAAGAUUAAGUAGGCGUUUAUACAUAGGCCCCU